Molecule: unclassified non-coding RNA, 377 nt
Filed under: Hevea brasiliensis (rubber tree)
Lineage: Eukaryota; Viridiplantae; Streptophyta; Magnoliopsida; Malpighiales; Euphorbiaceae
Source: RNAcentral
GUUCUACAGCUAUUCUAUAAGUCAGAAUGUAUACUUGACUCCAUAGCUUUGCCCCCAUAUUAAUUUCAUGGUCUGCUUUAAUUUUCUGUUGGAGAACUGCCUGAUACAAUGUCAAAGCCCGGUCCAACUCUUGCCCUUCUAGGUAAAAUGCUAGUUUUGAAAAAGCAUCACCAUUGCUAGAGGAUGGAGGAUACUGACUUUGUCUACUCAUGUCUUCCGCAGAAGGAUCUUGUACUAGCUUCUCUACAGAGGCAAGAUGACUAUCAUUUGAAAAUGUAGUUUCACCAGGAUUUCUCUGUUGUAAAUUUUCUGCUUGUCCCAGGGGAGACUCUGAUAAUUUAGCCUCAUCUUCCUGAAUCUCAGUCAAAUCAGUAGAC